RNAcentral lists this unclassified non-coding RNA (321 nucleotides) under Hevea brasiliensis (rubber tree). Lineage: Eukaryota; Viridiplantae; Streptophyta; Magnoliopsida; Malpighiales; Euphorbiaceae. The record is from RNAcentral.
AUGAUUGGCAAUCUUAUAUCGAGGUGUGUUUCUUUCUGAAAAAUCAAAAUCAAUAUCUAGAACAAUUAUUCCAGUUACCAACUCCAAUCCCUCCCCCUGCCUCUGCGGGUAUGGUAUGGCUGGCUUUCUAUGUCAUUUGACCAUUAAGAAACACAAUCAAGUUAUGUUUUUUUUACCCUUUUCUGAAGUGAUCGGUACUAUUUUUUUAAACAGACUAAAACAGAUCUGUAACAAUUCUUUAUUCAAAUAUAACGCUCCCUUUUUUUUCAGCUUUUUCUUAUGAUGAAACUUUUCUGCAGGAACAUCCAUAUGCAAUCAAGU